CCAUCUACUAUCCUAUUAAUAGGAUCAAGGAUAUUGUUCUAUCAAGUCGAUUUGAAUGAUCGGAACUUCAAAUUGAUAAUCAUAAUCGGCACCGUUGAAAUGUUUAGAAACCAAAUUUUAUAAUAUGAAUUAAAAAUCAUUAUUAAGUUCAUCUUAAAGUUGAAAAAUGUACGGUCAUAAAUCAAUAACCUUCUUAAAAUAGAGGUUAGACUUUCUCAGUUUAUAAUCAUAAUUAUCAAACAUUAUCUAAAUAGUAUAAAAAUUUUUUUAUCAAAAAUUCAAACAAUUUGGAUUACUCUACACCGUUAAACAAGCAAACAGCUCAUAUAGGCCGUCAAAAAUUAUCGAUUUUACGACACUUUGAUCACCAUGUAAAUAAUUUUUAAGAUUUAUGAAAUUUAAUUUCUAAAUAUUUCAAAUACUCUAAGUCAACUUCAACGGCUCCAUCAUCGAUUCGGAAUCUCUAUCAUCAAGAACAAUUUGAUAGGACAAGUGCUACUAUCCUAUUAAUAGGAUAGUAGCCCUAGCAUAUAUAUAUAUAUAGUGUAUCUGGUAUGCUUCUGGAACCACGGAGCGCUCCGUGCUUCCAAGUUGUUUUCGAUGUUCGGACUUUCGAAUCGACAAUCAGCUCCGUUAGACUUGAUCUAGAGUAUUUGAAGUAUCUACAAAAUAAAUUUUGCAAUUUUUCGAUAUUAUUUGCCUAGUGAUCAGAGUAGCUCAAAAUCAACGGCUGAAAAUAAAAAUCUUACAAAAUAUGAUGAUAUGACAUUAAAAUUUUAGAUCAAAGUUAUUGAUCUUGUUUUAUAUGGUAUAAAGAAUUUUCUAUCAAAAUUUCAUAUGAUUUAGAUAUUUUUACACUGUUAAACUUGCAAACGCCUCAUUACGGCCAUUAAAAUUAUUGAUUUUGAGCACCUUCAAUCACUAGG
This 926-nucleotide long non-coding RNA is filed under the name Ananas comosus (pineapple). RNAcentral describes it as "long non-coding RNA (ACOM_LNC024394)". The record is from RNAcentral. Lineage: Eukaryota; Viridiplantae; Streptophyta; Magnoliopsida; Poales; Bromeliaceae.